RNAcentral lists this long non-coding RNA (531 nucleotides) under Pan troglodytes (chimpanzee). RNAcentral describes it as "lincRNA". Lineage: Eukaryota; Metazoa; Chordata; Mammalia; Primates; Hominidae. The record is from RNAcentral.
GAGAUCAGCCCAGUCUCCAUGUGAUGAAGCAGAUCACAGAUCCUCCCCGGAUACACGUUUACCCCAAGACGAGAGCAGGCUAAGAGCUGAGAGUGGAAAGAAUAUUGAUUGAACAUCUACUCAAGAACUGCAAAACAGAGAUUACCUGACCUAAAGAUGAAUCCAGGAUUCGGUGGUGCCUGUUCCAGGAAACUUUAGUGUGAAGGAUCCUCCAGAUACAAGGGAGCAGGCAAGUUGCACCCAACCUAACAGUAAAUUGCAGGGACAUUUCCAUUCUAAGGAAGGAAUUUUUGUGUGUGUUGCAACUCAGCUUCUGCUCUGGCAUUUUGCUGUGCAUUUAUAUUGCCAAUCAUGUUGGAGAGUCCAUGUGGUGAUUUCUGAAAAUGAGAUGUGAGAAAGAAGAGGAUAAUUUAAGUCUAGACCUACAGAUUGUGCUGAUAAAGUGACGAAGAACUACAAUCUUCUUAGUCAUUUCAUUGUAUAAGUGCAAUAAACGGUAUGUAAUAAAUUUGUAUGUUCAUAUUUACAACG